Notolabrus celidotus (New Zealand spotty) is the source of this 318-nucleotide long non-coding RNA. RefSeq lists it as uncharacterized. The transcript has 3 exons. NCBI's taxonomy places the organism in Eukaryota, Metazoa, Chordata, Actinopteri, Labriformes, Labridae. The record is from RefSeq and is a predicted model, not a curated record.
AAAUUAAGUCAACCCCUCCCCUGGUCCAGCCCCUUAAUUAGCUGAGCCAUAUAUAAAGCACCUGUGGCAGCAUGGCUUCCUUUUCGUCUUGGCUGCUUGCUGGUUGCCACAUGUUCUGUGUGCUGAGCCCCCUGUCUGCUAGUCUGCCUCUCUGACUCGUGUGAUCUGGUGUCUUCAUUGCUGAGAUGUGUAAGCGCACCAGGACACAAUAGUUUGCACCUGUUUGCUGUGAGUUCAAGAGUGGUACUACCUGUCUAAAUCAUUAAAUUUACAUUGUCUUUUGGAACCACGUCUGUCUUAAUAAAGGUGUUGAACCUG